CAGUAGCCGCGGUAAUACGAGGGGGGCAAGCGUUGUUCGGAUUUAUUGGGCGUAAAGGGUGCGUAGGCGGUUUGGCAAGUCUUGUGUGAAAUCUUCGGGCUCAACCCGAAGCCUGCACGAGAAACUACCGGGCUUGAGUAUUGGAGAGGUGAGUGGAAUUUCCGGUGUAGCGGUGAAAUGCGUAGAUAUCGGAAGGAACACCUGUGGCGAAAGCGGCUCACUGGACAAUAACUGACGCUGAUGCACGAAAGCUAGGGGAGCAAACAGGAUUAGAUACCCGGGUAGUCCCUGUCUCUUAUAC
Molecule: ribosomal RNA, 301 nt
Filed under: uncultured bacterium
Lineage: Bacteria
Description: partial 16S ribosomal RNA
Rfam family: Bacterial small subunit ribosomal RNA
Source: RNAcentral